UACGUAGGGAGCAAGCGUUGUCCGGAAUCAUUGGGCGUAAAGCGCGUGUAGGCGGUUACAUAAGUCUGUUGUGAAAGUCGGAGGCUCAACCUUCGAAAGCCGAUGGAUACUGUGUGACUUGAGUACGGAAGAGGAGAGUGGAAUUCCUGGUGUAGCGGUGAAAUGCGCAGAUAUCAGGAGGAACACCAACGGCGAAGGCAGCUCUCUGGGACGUUACUGACGCUGAGACGCGAAAAGCGUGGGGAGCAAACAGG
RNAcentral lists this ribosomal RNA (254 nucleotides) under uncultured bacterium. RNAcentral's name for it is "partial 16S ribosomal RNA". It matches the Rfam family "Bacterial small subunit ribosomal RNA", at positions 524 to 776 of the family's 1533-position model. The record is from RNAcentral.